This 392-nucleotide long non-coding RNA is filed under the name Cucumis sativus (cucumber). RNAcentral describes it as "long non-coding RNA (CSAT_LNC000525)". Lineage: Eukaryota; Viridiplantae; Streptophyta; Magnoliopsida; Cucurbitales; Cucurbitaceae. The record is from RNAcentral.
AGACUUGCAAAGUUAAAUUUAAAUGGAUUAAAUUUGUAAAAUUUAUAGGUAUAAAUUGAUAUUAUAUAUAUAAAACAAAGUAAGAAUGCUUUUCUCGUGCAUGCAUUAACUUAUAUAUAAAUUAGUUUGUUUUUUUUCAAAAAGAAAGUCAAAGAAGAAAAUAAUUAAAUUUGAGAAAAAGAAAGAAAUAAAGAGAAUGAAAGAGAGAAAAAGCAUUGGGGAGAGAAAUGCAUGGCUAAGAAUGCACUUUGGAAAUUGUGAUGCCUUUUAUUUACUAAAAAAACGAAAGCCUAGUACGACAUGUCGACAGCGGCUAAGCACCUGAUCCGCCCUUCCGUUUGUUCCGCUUCCUUUACGUUACACGUCGAAUCGAUGCCCCUACCUUUCCACUC